ACUCCUACGGGAGGCAGCAGUGGGGAAUUUUGGACAAUGGGCGAAAGCCUGAUCCAGCAAUGCCGCGUGUGUGAAGAAGGCCUUCGGGUUGUAAAGCACUUUUGUCCGGAAAGAAAUCCUUGGCUCUAAUACAGUCGGGGAUGACGUACCG
Molecule: ribosomal RNA, 151 nt
Filed under: Burkholderia cenocepacia
Lineage: Bacteria; Pseudomonadati; Pseudomonadota; Betaproteobacteria; Burkholderiales; Burkholderiaceae
Description: partial 16S ribosomal RNA
Rfam family: Bacterial small subunit ribosomal RNA
Source: RNAcentral